GACGAACGCUGGCGGCGUGCUUAACACAUGCAAGUCGAACGGAAAGGCCCUGCUUUUGUGGGGUGCUCGAGUGGCGAACGGGUGAGUAACACGUGAGUAACCUGCCCUUGACUUUGGGAUAACUUCAGGAAACUGGGGCUAAUACCGGAUAGGAGCUCCUGCUGCAUGGUGGGGGUUGGAAAGUUUCGGCGGUUGGGGAUGGACUCGCGGCUUAUCAGCUUGUUGGUGGGGUAGUGGCUUACCAAGGCUUUGACGGGUAGCCGGCCUGAGAGGGUGACCGGCUACAUUGGGACUGAGAUACGGCCCAGACUCCUACGGGAGGCAGCAGUGGGGAAUAUUGCACAAUGGGCGGAAGCCUGAUGCAGCAACGCCGCGUGCGGGAUGAAGGCCUUCGGGUUGUAAACCGCUUUCGCCUGUGACGAAGCGUGAGUGACGGUAAUGGGUAAAGAAGCACCGGCUAACUACGU
Molecule: ribosomal RNA, 467 nt
Filed under: uncultured bacterium
Lineage: Bacteria
Description: partial 16S ribosomal RNA
Rfam family: Bacterial small subunit ribosomal RNA
Source: RNAcentral